Molecule: ribosomal RNA, 2349 nt
Filed under: Escherichia coli
Lineage: Bacteria; Pseudomonadati; Pseudomonadota; Gammaproteobacteria; Enterobacterales; Enterobacteriaceae
Description: partial 23S ribosomal RNA
Rfam family: Bacterial large subunit ribosomal RNA
Source: RNAcentral
UGUAUAAUGGGUCAGCGACUUAUAUUCUGUAGCAAGGUUAACCGAAUAGGGGAGCCGAAGGGAAACCGAGUCUUAACUGGGCGUUAAGUUGCAGGGUAUAGACCCGAAACCCGGUGAUCUAGCCAUGGGCAGGUUGAAGGUUGGGUAACACUAACUGGAGGACCGAACCGACUAAUGUUGAAAAAUUAGCGGAUGACUUGUGGCUGGGGGUGAAAGGCCAAUCAAACCGGGAGAUAGCUGGUUCUCCCCGAAAGCUAUUUAGGUAGCGCCUCGUGAAUUCAUCUCCGGGGGUAGAGCACUGUUUCGGCAAGGGGGUCAUCCCGACUUACCAACCCGAUGCAAACUGCGAAUACCGGAGAAUGUUAUCACGGGAGACACACGGCGGGUGCUAACGUCCGUCGUGAAGAGGGAAACAACCCAGACCGCCAGCUAAGGUCCCAAAGUCAUGGUUAAGUGGGAAACGAUGUGGGAAGGCCCAGACAGCCAGGAUGUUGGCUUAGAAGCAGCCAUCAUUUAAAGAAAGCGUAAUAGCUCACUGGUCGAGUCGGCCUGCGCGGAAGAUGUAACGGGGCUAAACCAUGCACCGAAGCUGCGGCAGCGACACUAUGUGUUGUUGGGUAGGGGAGCGUUCUGUAAGCCUGUGAAGGUGUACUGUGAGGUAUGCUGGAGGUAUCAGAAGUGCGAAUGCUGACAUAAGUAACGAUAAAGCGGGUGAAAAGCCCGCUCGCCGGAAGACCAAGGGUUCCUGUCCAACGUUAAUCGGGGCAGGGUGAGUCGACCCCUAAGGCGAGGCCGAAAGGCGUAGUCGAUGGGAAACAGGUUAAUAUUCCUGUACUUGGUGUUACUGCGAAGGGGGGACGGAGAAGGCUAUGUUGGCCGGGCGACGGUUGUCCCGGUUUAAGCGUGUAGGCUGGUUUUCCAGGCAAAUCCGGAAAAUCAAGGCUGAGGCGUGAUGACGAGGCACUACGGUGCUGAAGCGACAAAUGCCCUGCUUCCAGGAAAAGCCUCUAAGCAUCAGGUAACAUCAAAUCGUACCCCAAACCGACACAGGUGGUCAGGUAGAGAAUACCAAGGCGCUUGAGAGAACUCGGGUGAAGGAACUAGGCAAAAUGGUGCCGUAACUUCGGGAGAAGGCACGCUGAUAUGUAGGUGAAGCGACUUGCUCGUGGAGCUGAAAUCAGUCGAAGAUACCAGCUGGCUGCAACUGUUUAUUAAAAACACAGCACUGUGCAAACACGAAAGUGGACGUAUACGGUGUGACGCCUGCCCGGUGCCGGAAGGUUAAUUGAUGGGGUUAGCGGUAACGCGAAGCUCUUGAUCGAAGCCCCGGUAAACGGCGGCCGUAACUAUAACGGUCCUAAGGUAGCGAAAUUCCUUGUCGGGUAAGUUCCGACCUGCACGAAUGGCGUAAUGAUGGCCAGGCUGUCUCCACCCGAGACUCAGUGAAAUUGAACUCGCUGUGAAGAUGCAGUGUACCCGCGGCAAGACGGAAAGACCCCGUGAACCUUUACUAUAGCUUGACACUGAACAUUGAGCCUUGAUGUGUAGGAUAGGUGGGAGGCUUUGAAGUGUGGACGCCAGUCUGCAUGGAGCCGACCUUGAAAUACCACCCUUUAAUGUUUGAUGUUCUAACGUGGGCCCCUUACCGGGGUUGCGGACAGUGUCUGGUGGGUAGUUUGACUGGGGCGGUCUCCUCCUAAAGAGUAACGGAGGAGCACGAAGGUUGGCUAAUCCUGGUCGGACAUCAGGAGGUUAGUGCAAUGGCAUAAGCCAGCUUGACUGCGAGCGUGACGGCGCGAGCAGGUGCGAAAGCAGGUCAUAGUGAUCCGGUGGUUCUGAAUGGAAGGGCCAUCGCUCAACGGAUAAAAGGUACUCCGGGGAUAACAGGCUGAUACCGCCCAAGAGUUCAUAUCGACGGCGGUGUUUGGCACCUCGAUGUCGGCUCAUCACAUCCUGGGGCUGAAGUAGGUCCCAAGGGUAUGGCUGUUCGCCAUUUAAAGUGGUACGCGAGCUGGGUUUAGAACGUCGUGAGACAGUUCGGUCCCUAUCUGCCGUGGGCGCUGGAGAACUGAGGGGGGCUGCUCCUAGUACGAGAGGACCGGAGUGGACGCAUCACUGGUGUUCGGGUUGUCAUGCCAAUGGCACUGCCCGGUAGCUAAAUGCGGAAGAGAUAAGUGCUGAAAGCAUCUAAGCACGAAACUUGCCCCGAGAUGAGUUCUCCCUGACUCCUUGAGAGUCCUGAAGGAACGUUGAAGACGACGACGUUGAUAGGCCGGGUGUGUAAGCGCAGCGAUGCGUUGAGCUAACCGGUACUAAUGAACCGUGAGGCUUAACCUUACAACGCCGAAG